AGAGAGAGAGAGAGAGAGAGGGAGAGAAUCUGUAGCACCAUAAAAAAUUGUGGACGUGCAGGAACAGGAGGAACUACUUUUUUAGCUCACGAUUAUAAGUGAAUCUAUUGUGCAUUAAAAUUUGGCAUGGUUUGUGGAGAAACCAAAGGAAUUUACUAGCAGCAAAACAAAGUAAAAGCAUAUUCUCCGAGCUGUCCGAGCACCACACAAUGCAUGCGAGAUUCACCAACUGAUACAUUACCUUUGCAUCUUGGCAGAAAUGCUUUUAAAUAUAAAAAAGUUCAUAAUUACUUUUACUUGCUAAUAUUCUAAUGAAAUGUUUCUAAGUCCAUAAGGAUUUGCUAAAGAUGUUACUUAGGAGCAAGUAGAUGCCUGC
This 376-nucleotide long non-coding RNA is filed under the name Phoenix dactylifera (date palm). Its description in RNAcentral is "long non-coding RNA (PDAC_LNC016445)". The record is from RNAcentral. Lineage: Eukaryota; Viridiplantae; Streptophyta; Magnoliopsida; Arecales; Arecaceae.